Molecule: ribosomal RNA, 471 nt
Filed under: uncultured bacterium
Lineage: Bacteria
Description: bacterial SSU rRNA
Rfam family: Bacterial small subunit ribosomal RNA
Source: RNAcentral
UGGGGAAUAUUGGACAAUGGGCGAAAGCCUGAUCCAGCCAUGCCGCGUGUGUGAAGAAGGUCUUCGGAUUGUAAAGCACUUUAAGUUGGGAGGAAGGGCAGUUACCUAAUACGUAUCUGUUUUGACGUUACCGACAGAAUAAGCACCGGCUAACUCUGUGCCAGCAGCCGCGGUAAUACAGAGGGUGCAAGCGUUAAUCGGAAUUACUGGGCGUAAAGCGCGCGUAGGUGGUUUGUUAAGUUGGAUGUGAAAUCCCCGGGCUCAACCUGGGAACUGCAUUCAAAACUGACAAGCUAGAGUAUGGUAGAGGGUGUGGAAUUUCCUGUGUAGCGGUGAAAUGCGUAGAUAUAGGAAGGAACACCAGUGGCGAAGGCGACCACCUGGACUGAUACUGACACUGAGGUGCGAAAGCGUGGGGAGCAAACAGGAUUAGAUACCCCAGUAGUCCCUGAGCGGGCUGGCAAGGCGCAU